AUUGAGCGAGGCACCGGGACGUCGGCGGCUGGCGGAGCCGGGCGGGCGAAGCUGGAGCGGCGGUGGCGGCGGCGUAGGGAGGCCGGGGCCGGGGCUGAGGCCGCGGCCGGGUCUGCGAGGCCCUUGGGGCGGCAGGCGGCGGCGGCCCGGGGCUCGAGCCCGGAGGCAGGAGCAGCCGCCAUGGCCGAGAGCAUCCAAGUGCCUUGUCAUGAGUCACUAAGGAGAGCAGCUCUGCAGACGGGGACGUUACAGAGCUCCCUCCCCACCAGAAGACCUG
This 277-nucleotide non-coding RNA is filed under the name Pan troglodytes (chimpanzee). The record is from RNAcentral. RNAcentral also lists the same sequence under 1 other name. Lineage: Eukaryota; Metazoa; Chordata; Mammalia; Primates; Hominidae.